UGAGACUUUGAUCCAGGAUCUUCCAACGAUUCUGAAAGCUACGAAGGAUCGCUACCGGAAUGGGAAGAGCCGAAUUUUCCAGUACCACGGACAGCUCAGGAGGUGCAGACCCAGCUGACGCAUUCCCUGGGGACUGGCGAAGAGUCCAUUAGGAGGCCCAAACUAAGCCGA
This is a long non-coding RNA of Ahaetulla prasina, 171 nucleotides long. RefSeq lists it as uncharacterized. The record is from RefSeq and is a predicted model, not a curated record. The transcript is spliced from 3 exons. Lineage: Eukaryota; Metazoa; Chordata; Lepidosauria; Squamata; Colubridae.